GUACUGGCAAAAUCCAGUGCCGGGAUUAGGACCCCGCAUCGUUUCCCCAAGGCGCAUUGUCGCCAGCUUUCUGCUGGCAUUUU
Molecule: small RNA, 83 nt
Filed under: Vibrio mangrovi
Lineage: Bacteria; Pseudomonadati; Pseudomonadota; Gammaproteobacteria; Vibrionales; Vibrionaceae
Description: isrK
Rfam family: isrK Hfq binding RNA
Source: RNAcentral